This is a long non-coding RNA of Populus trichocarpa (black cottonwood), 679 nucleotides long. RefSeq lists it as uncharacterized. The transcript has 2 exons. The record is from RefSeq and is a predicted model, not a curated record. Lineage: Eukaryota; Viridiplantae; Streptophyta; Magnoliopsida; Malpighiales; Salicaceae.
CCGCGCGGUGAGCACAGAGCGAACUAUUCUUUCGCCUUUUACUAAAGAAUACCGUGUGCACGCCGCAAAUAACGGCAUACGCCAAUUUUUUGAGGGGAUCUCCUCUAUUGGAGCCCCACAAUUCUAGUUUAAAAGCUAUGACGACGUUGCUUUUCGAACGGAAGGUCCUUCAUUCUGUGAUCUGUUUUAAUUGCCGGUGUCGUAGAAACUAAACGUUCGGGAAGCUAACGGCAGUUAUCAAAUGGGCGUCGCCACGAACACCAACCUCAAAGCCAGGGAUCCCAUGCUUCUCUGCACUCAUGUCUCCUCAUAGCUUGAAAGAUAAUUACUUGUUUUCUUUGCAGGUUGAGAGGGACACAAUACUCAUUUAGUUCAACUAAUGAGGAGAGAGUGUAUAUACGCAUAUUCAAAGGAGAGGAGCAAGAUCGGGUCAACCCAAAGCUUAUAGAGACUUUUAUCGGAUUGGGUUUGUGUUUGAUAUCCGAAUUGCCCUGUUAAACUAACUUUUUCAUUCUUUUUUAUGAUAGAGUUGUGUUAAUUUCGCAUAGUUUUGUUAGAUUUGUGUUGUUGUUACAGCUCUUGAUCCUCGUAGAUUUAUUUCUUCAAUUUCUUUUCGGCCAUGAAUUUGACCACAAAUCUGUCUCCACGAUAUGUUUGAUAAAAGUUCUCUUUAAUACCA